RNAcentral lists this transfer RNA (68 nucleotides) under Marmota monax (woodchuck). RNAcentral describes it as "tRNA.Ala". The record is from RNAcentral. Lineage: Eukaryota; Metazoa; Chordata; Mammalia; Rodentia; Sciuridae.
GGAUUGUAGCCCAGUGGUCGAGUGCUUGCCUAGCAUGUGAGAGGUCCUGGGUUCGAUUCUCAGUACCA